This 253-nucleotide ribosomal RNA is filed under the name uncultured bacterium. RNAcentral's name for it is "partial 16S ribosomal RNA". It matches the Rfam family "Bacterial small subunit ribosomal RNA", at positions 524 to 776 of the family's 1533-position model. The record is from RNAcentral.
UACAGAGGCCUCAAGCGUUGUUCGGAUUCAUUGGGCGUAAAGGGUGCGUAGGUGGCAAGGUUAGUCAGGUGUGAAAUCUCGGGGCUCAACCCCGAAACUGCACUUGAUACUGCCUUGCUAGAGUACUGGAGAGGAGAUUGGAAUUUACGGUGUAGCAGUGAAAUGCGUAGAUAUCGUAAGGAAGACCAGUGGCGAAGGCGAAUCUCUGGACAGUUACUGACACUGAGGCACGAAGGCCAGGGGAGCAAACGGG